CGGCUCGAGGUACUCUUGAAGCCGGCAAAACAGACCAAAGGACUACAACGCAAACAAGCUGACAUCCGCACUCGAAGGUGCUGCUGCACCCUCUUGCAUCUCACGCGCUCUCUCUUCCUCGACUCACCCACAGAGACACACGCACGCGCAAAAGAGGUGAAGCGAAGCGAAAACCGCCGAAGGCUCCACCACCAUCAUCGCCGCCUCGCCUGUCCACCACCACCUCCUCCUCCCUCCUCUACUCUGUCCCUUCCUCUCCAUGUGGCAGACUUGGCGGGGGCUGAUUCUCUGACAGCUGCCGCUCGCUGAUCGUCGUGUCUUCUCUUUUUCGUUUUGCUUUCACCCUACUCCUCGAUAACUCUUUCUGCCGCUGCCACCCUCAUCUACGGCCCGCCUUUCCACGCGCACGCAUACACACACAGCCCUCCUCCCGAGCCGCCGCCGCCCUCCCAACUCUCUCGAAUGUUCUUUUUCGAGGUUGAAGUGUGUUCUUGUCGCGCUUCUCGAUUCCCUCCAUCGCCUUGAGCCUCUCCCUUUUGUGUUCCGAUUUUCUUGUGUACUUCUAUCUGCGUGUCUGUCUGUGUGUGUGUGUGUGUGCGUGUGUGUGUAGCUGGGCGCACGCGUCAUCUCAUUCUUUUAGCCCUGUUGUUAUCCUCGGAGAGCAUCCUCGAGUACUUGGUGUCGGUGUUGUAUUUGAUCUGCACACGAGUGCCGCACCCCACCUAAACCCCGUCAUCAUCAUCAUAUUUCACCCGACCCCUCCCCCCACCGGUACACGCCCACUUGUCUGCCGUCAAUUAUUCUGUCUCUCCUCACCUCUCACUCAUCCCCCCCACCCUACUCCUUCCCACCUUUGACGCGAUGCCGGCGUGUCCCGAUUGCGGGCUUAUGUUCGACUCCCUCCACAAUGUGCAGAUACACCGUCGGUCUGGCGCAUGCUCGAUGCAGUCGUUAGGCGCCCCGGCGGCCAGCCCAGUUCAGCAGCCUAUGGUCUGCGCCGCUGGCUGUCCGGUUACGCCGCCCACGAGCGUGUUGGGCCACGUGAGCAGCAUCGGCUCUGGUGGCUACAGCCACGGGAAAGGUGGCUUUGGCAUGCAGAGUACACCGGUGCUCCCCGCAGCAACCGCGCGGGUGCCUUGCAUGAGUCCCAUAGAGCGUGAGAUUGAGCAAGCGCUGGCCAUUCAGCGCAAUCAGCAAACGGCCGACAUGGCGGAGCGGGAGCGCAUGCUGCUUGAACAGCAGGUAAACCUGGUUUUGCCGGCGCGUCAAGCACAGCUGCAGCAGUCGCAGCAGGCGCUGAAGGAUCAGCUGCUUCAGAUGAAGCUGCAGCUCUUCUCUAACCAGCAGCAGCAGCAAUCUAGCAGCAACAUGGACAUGGAAUACCUGCGAAAUGAAAUCGCGGCGAUGCGCGGCGCUCUCUCCUCGAUGGGCAUGAACUGCACCUCCAACAGCGACCCUGGCCUGCCAUGGCGGAAGCCGCACAAGCCGCAGCACCGGAAAGCAACGUCAGCGCGCACGAGGAAUGUCCGCAGGAGGCGCCAGCACGGAUGCCACAUCGACGAGGACGAUUCUUGGGGGAGUCUUGAUGGCGUUCUCUGCAGUGACGAGUAUGGCGACGACCGCGGUGAAGCUUGCGAUAGGGAUUCAAGUAGCCGUAGCCCCUCACCGCGAAACGCCCGCCUCUUCAGCCCGACGCCGUCGCAGAAAAUCCAUAGCGCGCUGAAAAGCAUGCAAGCUGAGAUUCGCAGCUUGCGGGCCAUGAGCGCUACCCGCAUGGAGCCGGCGUUCCCCACCGCCUCGAUGCUGGAGCCGGGCCUGCACUUGCUCAAGCUUGCCGCCCUCGAAGGCAUCGCCCUUGCCGUCCCUCUCGACGAGGUGGAUGUGUCGAUCAAGGUAUACUACAUGUCGCACGUGCACAACGAGUAUCUGCUCGAGCCCUAUCUCGAGCGCAGCUACCCACGGCGCCCCCCGUCGUUGGUCCGCCAUGACGCCAACACAAUGCUGUUUACGAUCCCGCCGCUGGAGUUCAUCGUGCACUCACCGAAAGAGAUGGUCGUGUUCGUGCUGCAGGUGUUUUACCGCGGCCGACUGCUCUGCUGGGCCGCCAUCUUCGCGAAAUCCACCGGCAGCUUCUCCGAGGGCAUUCGGAACAGCUGCUACGACCUCGCCAAGGCCCUGCAGACACCUGGUGGUAUGAUCCCCGAGGCGAGCGUGUCAGGUUACAUCGAGACCGACUCGCUGGACGUUCUGCAGCACGCCGAGUCGAUCCUGAACCCGAGCGCCGUUAGCUUCAGUGCUUGCCCCGGCUCUCCGUUCCCGCAGAGGCAGCAUGUACAGCUACCUGGACUACCACCGCUGCCGCCGCCACCGCUAGGUCAGCCGCUGCUACCCGGCAUGCCCGGUUGCGAGGGGCCAUUUUUGCCGCCCACGUCAGACGACCACAUGAUGCUGCUGCAACCCACCAAGGGACCCGUCGCACACUUUAUCCUCCCUCCGCGGGCUGGGGUGUCGAUCUUGGAGUGGAACCAAGAGGUGGUAAAGCAUCUCAAGAAGAUACAGAAGCACCUACCCAGUAAGGCCACCGCGCCAGCAGCGGAAAAGGGUGCCGCCAACGGUAAGCAUGUCAGCAACUGGAAGCCGCCAGCGUCUCCGCCGAGUCAGCGGCAGGUAAUGCUCGAUAGCAGCAGCAGCGAUAGCAGCGUGCAAUCGUUCUCUCCACUUUCGUCCAUGUGUAUAUCACAGCCCACCUCCAACGGCAGCCCUUUGAGAGACCCCCCGCUUCCUAUUCACGGCCAGGCCGAGAUCAUCGGAGAAGACAUGAGCAAGCAUCCUCCUGUCACGAGGCAGCAGCAGCAACGUCGUAGCCACCGUAGUGCCGUAUACUUUACAAAGGGCAUCUCGGAGGCUGUGACCGCUGCUGAGGUACCCGCGGCGAAGUCGCCUACGAUGUCCAUUCGAAAGCCGCAGGAGCCCGCGAAAGUGUCUGCGGUCGCCGCGUUGGCGAAGGAGCCGCUCUCGACUUAUGUGCCAUCAUCCCAGACGCACACGCCGCCGCCGUCGACCAACGCCUCCCUCGCCAAAUUAGAAGCCAAGGAAGUCGCAGCUGAGAAGCUGCCCGACAAUCCCAAGUCACAGAUGGCGAGUACUUUGUCGCCAUGCGUUCCUUCCGCGGACAAUCAAGCCGCCCCCCUUCAAGCCGCAACACCGCCGCCGGCACCAUGCAAAGUUCCUCGGGAAGACAUGCCACUGGUCGAGCGCAGCCGUCUACGCGUUUUGAUGGACCCGCAGGGCAAUCUCGCGGUGCCGCCAAACUACAAGCUGAACCCCAACAACCCGCCUUGCGUGAACCUCCACAAGCUCCACGCCACAGCUGACCCGCCUGUAAACCCAUGCGUGCUGCUUGGCCUCUCGAAGCCGACCGAUAGGCCGCCAGCGACGCUGACGAUGCCUGGGCACGGAGAGAAUGGAAGCACGGUCGAUAUCUUCGUGGACGGUGUAUCUGGCGUCCCGCUCGACGCGGUGUGCUCGCGUGUGCUGGUGUACAUCACCGACGAACUGGACCUCAACACCGGUGGCCAUCUGCACCCCCUUCACCACCCUCGUGUCUUCAUGCGGAAGCCGAAUCUCGUUGCCUAUCAGAAUCUCACCUCGAGCAGCAUCGAGCCCGUGUUUGAGGCAAAGAUGAGCUCCAACGUCGGCGAUCAAACGCACGCCGUCGUCAUUGUGGAGUACAUCAACGGCCGCCAAGAGUCACCGAUCGUGCUUGGACACUGCUGCUUGCCGAUUAGCAAGCGCUUCUUUGCCGGCAACUUUGUGGCGCGCCUGAAGGUCGGCGAUCCCCGUCGCUCGCAGGAGCGGGCCGUCGACGAGAUGCGUUCGCCUUCCCGCAUCUCCGACGAGCAGAAGCGUGCCACGGAGAAGUACAACCAAUCGCAGCUGGAGGCAAGCGUCGACUCGCAGGCGCUGCGCAACUUGAUGCCGUUACCACCGUCCAAGCUUUCCGAGUGCGCACCGCUCGGCUACCUGAUAUGGCGCCUAGAGAGCCCCGACAUGCGCAGCCCCUUCUUCGAAAUGGCGCAGCAGGUGCCUCUGUCACAGCAAGAAGUGCAGCUCUUCGAGGACCGCAAGAAUCACGCGGAUGUGACGCCGAACUCGAAGGGGCUGACGUCAGAGAAGGCGGCCGACGAGGCCUUCAUCGGCUCCGGGACGACGCAGACCGACUCUAUAAGCUUCAUUGCCCCCUUCAGCGAGCAGCGCGGCGCCUUCGUAAAGGUGGAGGGCAUCCGAGGCGUGGGCGAUGACGCAGCCAUGUACGUCGUGGUGGUCUACAUGGCCAAGGCGCCGAAGGGCCGCCGGGUAUACUACACGAUGAUGCUCGACUGGGCCUCGGACGUUGGUGCUCCGAUGUUUAAGGACCCCCCAUUUGCCUUCCAAGGUAUCCAGUACGACAAAACAAACACUACGACGUACAUGCUGCUGAAGCUCUCGAGGUUGGAGAACGCGGCCAACCCGCCGUUGGUGGAGUGCAUCGGGUGGACCAUGAAUAAACUCUUCAUAGACUCAGCGCCGGCGCUACGCCAAGGACGGUAUGUGCUGCCGUGGUUGAAUGGGCCGCUGCCGCCGGUCGUAGUCCAAGAGCUGCUCACCCAACAGAUCGGCACCGUGUUCCUCAGCCGCAUGAACGCAAAGACCAUUGCCUACCUAGAGCCCAAGGCCACACUGACCAUCAGCCAAGGCGACCCGGCGUGCUGCAUGGCACUGGUGGACAACACGCCCGGUCGCGCGCAGCCGCGUCAGCUACUCGUGUCCGCCGCUAUCAAGAAGGCCUUUCCCUCCUGCACAUGUGAGGGCAUGGUGGGGUGCACGCUGAGAAGAGCACAUGAGAAGUGCUUCGGCGGCGGCGACGCGCGAGCCCUGCUGCAGCGCAUGAACAUGGCGGUGCAGGAAUACCUCACUGCAAAAAUGAAGGAACUCGAGGAGCUGUGAAUGAGCACCACUGGCCAGCAGACGCACGCAAAAGAGGCAUUGCUGAGGUGCAUGCCAACUUGUACGGACGUUGAGUCGCUCCUGUGGUAAAGUCUUGUCGAGGAUCUCCUCGCCACCCCUCCCUCCCUCUCUACGCCAGCGUCUUCGCGAUGCAAAGAACACGAAUAUGAUUGCACGUCGUUGUAUCUCAUAUAUAUUUAUAUAAGCUCCAUAAGCUUUUUUUUUCGUACUUCCGGAUGCCACACGCUCUACCAGGGAUCGUCAAGAGAAAGCUCGCGCAUCUUCCGGGCUUCUCUCCUCCACACCUUGUAUUAUCGCGUCUCCAGGCACGGCGUCGCCGCCCUCCACGCCCCGCCUAACAUGAUGCCGUCUUCGUGCAGCUCACCAUGUAUGUAUAUAGGUGUGUGUGUGUGUGUGUGUGUGUGCUCGAGAGCAGCAUUGCAUGCAAUGUAUUUUCGAUGUCGAUAACAGUACGAAAAAAAAAGGACAAAAAGCAUAUGUCUCACUCGCUUCUUUUUUUUGCCUUUGGGCGCGUGUGUGUUGUACGCGGAGUCCAUCAGCUGUGCGUCGCUUGCUUAUUUUUUUUGCCUUCCUUGCUCUCUCUCCUCUCGGCACAAUCGCUCUUAUGCAAUUUGUUUUACUCUUUUGGGGGGCUGAGGAAAGCCUUCUUUCAGAUUUCGAGAAGCGGGCACACGAGUGCAUCGUUGAAGUGCCCGUGUGUGCGUGUGCGUGAGAGAGAGGAGGACACCGCUCGCCCGCCCACCCCUCUCUCCGCACAAACACACUCUCUCCAUCCAUCCAUCUCCCCAUCCACUCCUCUUUCGAAUCCUCUGUGUGGCCUGCUGGGGUGUCCGUCACCUUCGCACCGACACCCUUUUGGUCGCUUGUAAAUGUCGCGAUGAUUUUCUCUUCUGUGGUUUGUUGUUUGCUGUUGUUUUCCUCUCCCCGCUUCUGCGCACGUCAACACGGAUCAGCUCACACGCGCACGCCCUGCUUCUCAUGGGUCCCGAGGGCGGAAGUCCCGCUCGCCCGUGGAUAUCUAUAUACCUAUCUAUAUAUAUAUAUAUAUAUAUAUGGGUAUAUAUAUGUAUGCGUGUGUUUGUAUGUUUGUUUGGAUCUGCUUCAUGGCAAACCCCGUCGUUUGCCGGCGCACGUAUGUAUCUAGCUUACGCCCCCCGGGCGGUAGGGAGAGGCAGAAGGGAGGGAGUGGAGGGGGUCAUGUUUGUUUGUUUUUUUUUUGCGAGUGAAAGGGCAAAGAUGGGCAGCGUGUGUCUGUGUGAUGUCUGUCUGUCUGAUGUGUAUUCAUGUAGAAGGAUUAGGAAGAGAGGAGGGGGCGUCCUUCUUCCUCUCCCGACUGUCCUUUCUCCAUGUGUAACUCUAUGUUGUGACAAGAUACCACGAAAAAGAAAAACGAUCCGAGCAUACACGUGUGUGCAGUCUCUUACAUGUACGACUGUAUGCUUUUUCUUCGCAAUGUGGGCCAACCUCUUUCGCCAUCUGUAUUCUUUUCAUUUUGCCCGAGUUAUGCGCACCUGUGUCGUUGUGUGUGUGGGUGUGGGUGUCUUCUUUUCUUCUCACCCCAUUCUCUCUCUUUGUAUGUGCACAAUCAUCUCAAAUUAUUUUUUUUUUGCUUUUUAAUCCUCCGCUCGCAUCUGCAGCUGAGCUCUCCCUCCCCUCUCCGUUUCUACUCGUUGCGUUUCCCCCCCCCUUCUUUUUGUUUGUUUGGAAUUUGAAGCUCUUCGCUGUACAUGUAACAUCUUCAUCUUAGUGCACGCUUCAUCGUUGCACAUAGAUAGAUCUAUAUAUGUGCAUGUCUUAUUGCUGCUUUCUGUCGUCGUUGUCCGCGGUUGCCAUUGUUGAUGGUCCUGGGUUUGGUCAUCUCUUCUCCCGCUUCUACUUCCAACUUCUACUUGUGCUUAUAUAUGAAUGCAUACAUAUGUAUAUGUGUAUAUGGGUGUGUCUUCCUGUGCAUCUUGAAAGGCGUAAAGGCACAGCGGCGACCUCAGUCACAGUUCACCGCCUCUUGUGUUUUUCCCUGUUGUUUUGUUUGUGUGAGCUUGUCUCGAUACCUCUCUGUAGUACAUGGAAACGUGCGCGAGACACACGCACGCACAAGCAUGCGUAUACAUAUACAUAAACACAUGUGUAUGUAUGUAUACGCAUGCGUACAGGUGCCUACUGUUAUGCACUGCCUGACGUUGUGGUGGUUUGCUCACUUUAAGAAAUGGAUCACGCAUAUGCUCACAUUUUUCUUUGUUUGGAGGGCUUUUCACUUUCUUUCAUCCCUCUCCCGCUCUCUUGAGGCAG
RNAcentral lists this unclassified non-coding RNA (7293 nucleotides) under Leishmania donovani. RNAcentral describes it as "gene:LdHU3.26.1740(CDS-product:hypothetical_prote in_conserved)". Lineage: Eukaryota; Euglenozoa; Kinetoplastea; Trypanosomatida; Trypanosomatidae. The record is from RNAcentral.